RNAcentral lists this ribosomal RNA (301 nucleotides) under uncultured bacterium. RNAcentral's name for it is "partial 16S ribosomal RNA". It matches the Rfam family "Bacterial small subunit ribosomal RNA", at positions 509 to 809 of the family's 1533-position model. The record is from RNAcentral.
CAGUAGCCGCGGUAACACGAAGGGGGCUAGCGUUGUUCGGAUUUACUGGGCGUAAAGCGCACGUAGGCGGAUCGAUCAGUCAGGGGUGAAAUCCUGGAGCUCAACUCCAGAACUGCCUUUGAUACUGUCGAUCUCGAGUCCGGAAGAGGUGAGUGGAACUCCUAGUGUAGCGGUGGAAUGCGCAGAUAUCAGGAGGAACACCGAUGGCGAAGGCAGGUCUCUGGGCAUUAACUGACGCUGAGGAGCGAAAGCAUGGGGAGCGAACAGGAUUAGAUACCCCUGUAGUCCCUGUCUCUUAUAA